This 254-nucleotide unclassified non-coding RNA is filed under the name Saccharata sp. Its description in RNAcentral is "partial contains 5.8S ribosomal RNA, internal transcribed spacer 2, and large subunit ribosomal RNA". The stretch from base 1 to 52 matches the Rfam family "5.8S ribosomal RNA", at positions 103 to 154 of the family's 154-position model. RNAcentral also lists the same sequence under 1 other name. Lineage: Eukaryota; Fungi; Ascomycota; Dothideomycetes; Botryosphaeriales; Saccharataceae. The record is from RNAcentral.
AACGCACAUUGCGCCCCUCGGUAUUCCGGGGGGCAUGCCUGUUCGAGCGUCAUUAUCGACCAUCAAGCACUGCUUGGCAUUGGGCUUCCGUCCCCGCAGCGGACGGGCCCUAAAGACCUCGGCGGCGGCGCAGUGGCCUCAAGCGUAGUAGAAAACUAUCCCGCUUUACAGAGGCCUCGCGACGCCCGCUCCGAAAACCCCCAACAUUCUAAAAGGUUGACCUCGGAUCAGGUAGGGAUACCCGCUGAACUUAA